This 323-nucleotide ribosomal RNA is filed under the name Cercomonas sp. RNAcentral's name for it is "SSU rRNA". The stretch from base 110 to 323 matches the Rfam family "Eukaryotic small subunit ribosomal RNA", at positions 740 to 955 of the family's 1831-position model. The record is from RNAcentral. Lineage: Eukaryota; Cercozoa; Cercomonadida; Cercomonadidae.
GAUUUCUGGUUUGGCGUACUUGGCCCGUCCCGGUCUUCGGGAUUGUGUGCCGGUGUGCGCCUUCCAUCCUUCGAGAAAACCUUUCUACCCUUCACGGGGCCGGGAAGGCUAUCUCGAUCUUUUACUUUGAAAAAAUUAGAGUGUUUAAAGCAGGCUUGCGCUAUGAAUACAUUAGCAUGGAAUAAUAAUUUAGGACUUUUGGCCUAUUUUGUUGGUUUCUAGGACAAGAGUAAUGAUUGAUAGGGACAGUUGGGGGUGCUAGUAUUCAGCGGCCAGAGGUGAAAUUCUUGGAUUCGCUGAAGACUAACUUAUGCGAAAGCAUU